RNAcentral lists this long non-coding RNA (511 nucleotides) under Homo sapiens (human). Its description in RNAcentral is "non-protein coding lnc-DRD5-23:2". Lineage: Eukaryota; Metazoa; Chordata; Mammalia; Primates; Hominidae. The record is from RNAcentral.
GGCCCCUUCACCUACCAAACGCAAAGACCGCUCAGAUGAGAAGUCCAAGGAUCGCUCAAAAGAUAAAGGGGCCACGUGAGAAGGAUCGCGGCCGGGACAAAACGCGAAAGAGGCACAGCGCUUCCAGUGGUAGCAGCAGUACCAGGUCUCGGUCCAGCUCGACUUCCAGCUCAGGCUCCAGCACCAGCACUGGCUCAAGCAGUGGCUCCAGCUCUUCCUCAGCCUCCAGCCGCUCAGGAAGCUCCAGCACCUCCCGCAGCUCCAGCUCUAGCAGCUCUUCUGGCUCUCCAAGUCCUUCUCGGCGCAGACACGACAACAGGAGGCGCUCCCGCUCCAAAUCCAAACCACCUAAAAGAGAUGAAAAGGAGAGGAAAAGGCGGAGCCCAUCUCCUAAGCCCACCAAAGUGCACAUUGGGAGACUCACCAGGAAUGUGACAAAGGAUCACAUCAUGGAGAUAUUUUCCACCUAUGGGAAAAUUAAAAUGAUUGACAUGCCCGUGGAAAGGAUGCA